GAAUUGACGGGGGCCCGCACAAGCGGUGGAGCAUGUGGUUUAAUUCGAUGCAACGCGAAGAACCUUACCUGGUCUUGACAUCCACAGAACUUUCCAGAGAUGGAUUGGUGCCUUCGGGAACUGUGAGACAGGUGCUGCAUGGCUGUCGUCAGCUCGUGUUGUGAAAUGUUGGGUUAAGUCCCGCAACGAGCGCAACCCUUAUCCUUUGUUGCCAGCGGUCCGGCCGGGAACUCAAAGGAGACUGCCAGUGAUAAACUGGAGGAAGGUGGGGAUGACGUCAAGUCAUCAUGGCCCUUACGACCAGGGCUACACACGUGCUACAAUGGCGCAUACAAAGAGAAGCGACCUCGCGAGAGCAAGCGGACCUCAUAAAGUGCGUCGUAGUCCGGAUUGGAGUCUGCAACUCGACUCCAUGAAGUCGGAAUCGCUAGUAAUCGUGGAUCAGAAUGCCACGGUGAAUACGUUCCCGGGCCUUGUACACACCGCCCGUCACACCAUGGGAGUGGGUUGCAAAAGAAGUAGGUAGCUUAACCUUCGGGAGGGCGCUUACCACUUUGUGAUUCAUGACUGGGGUGAAGUCGUAACAAGGUAACCGUAGGGGAACCUGCGGUUGGAUCACCUCCUUACCUUAAAGAA
This 636-nucleotide ribosomal RNA is filed under the name Salmonella enterica subsp. enterica serovar Newport. RNAcentral's name for it is "bacterial SSU rRNA". It matches the Rfam family "Bacterial small subunit ribosomal RNA", at positions 907 to 1533 of the family's 1533-position model. Lineage: Bacteria; Pseudomonadati; Pseudomonadota; Gammaproteobacteria; Enterobacterales; Enterobacteriaceae. The record is from RNAcentral.